GGGCCCACACAAGCGGUGGAGCAUGUGGUUUAAUUCGAUGAUACGCGAGGAACCUUACCAGGGCUUAAAUGCAGAACGACAGAGGUGGAAACACCUCCUUCUUCGGACGGUCUGCAAGGUGCUGCAUGGUUGUCGUCAGCUCGUGCUGUGAAGUGUCGGGUUAAGUCCCAUAACGAGCGCAACCCCUAUUUCUAGUUGCCAGCGGUUCGGCCGGGGACUCUAGAGAAACUGCCAGCGUAAGCUGUGAGGAAGGUGGGGAUGACGUCAAAUCAUCACGGCCCUUACGUCCUGGGCUACACACGUGCUACAAUGGUAGGGACAGAGAGUUGCCAACCCGCGAGGGUGAGCUAAUCUUCAAAAAGUUGGUCCAAGUUCGGAUUGCAGUCUGCAACUCGACUGCAUGAAGUCGGAAUCGCUAGUAAUCG
RNAcentral lists this ribosomal RNA (425 nucleotides) under uncultured bacterium. RNAcentral describes it as "bacterial SSU rRNA". It matches the Rfam family "Bacterial small subunit ribosomal RNA", at positions 917 to 1344 of the family's 1533-position model. The record is from RNAcentral.